This 476-nucleotide ribosomal RNA is filed under the name uncultured bacterium. Its description in RNAcentral is "partial 16S ribosomal RNA". It matches the Rfam family "Bacterial small subunit ribosomal RNA", at positions 28 to 523 of the family's 1533-position model. The record is from RNAcentral.
GAUGAACGCUGGCGGCGUGCUUAACACAUGCAAGUCGAGCGAGUGAGUUCUUCGGAACGAUCUAGCGGCGGACGGGUGAGUAACACGUGGGCAACCUGCCUCAUAGAGGGGAAUAGCCUCCCGAAAGGGAGAUUAAUACCGCAUAACAUCGUUGAAGGGCAUCCUUCGAUGAUCAAAGGAGCAAUCCGCUAUGAGAUGGGCCCGCGGCGCAUUAGCUAGUUGGUGAGGUAACAGCUCACCAAGGCGACGAUGCGUAGCCGACCUGAGAGGGUGAUCGGCCACAUUGGGACUGAGACACGGCCCAGACUCCUACGGGAGGCAGCAGUGGGGAAUAUUGCACAAUGGGGGAAACCCUGAUGCAGCAACGCCGCGUGAGUGAUGACGGCCUUCGGGUUGUAAAGCGCUGUCUUUGGGGACGAUAAUGACGGUACCCAAGGAGGAAGUCACGGCUAACUACGUGCCAGCCGCCGCCGUAA